This 1054-nucleotide ribosomal RNA is filed under the name uncultured bacterium. Its description in RNAcentral is "bacterial SSU rRNA". It matches the Rfam family "Bacterial small subunit ribosomal RNA", at positions 336 to 1393 of the family's 1533-position model. The record is from RNAcentral.
CUCCUACGGGAGGCAGCAGUGAGGAAUAUUGGUCAAUGGGCGGAAGCCUGAACCAGCCAUGCCGCGUGCGGGAAGGAGGCCCUAUGGGCUGUGAACCGCUUUUGCCUGGGGGCAAUAAGGGCGUCGCGCACGUCCGAUGAGAGUACCAGGCGAAUAAGCAUCGGCUAACUCCGUGCCAGCAGCCGCGGUAAUACGGGGGAUGCGAGCGUUAUCCGGAUUCAUUGGGUUUAAAGGGUGCGUAGGCUGUGCGUCAAGUCGGGGGUGAAAUUCCGGUGCUCAACACCGGGGCUGCCCUUGAUACUGUCGCGCUGGAGUGCGGAUGCCGCCGGAGGAAUGAGUGGUGUAGCGGUGAAAUGCUUAGAUAUCACUCAGAACACCGAUUGCGAAGGCAUCUGGCGAAUCCGUAACUGACGCUGAGGCACGAAAGCGUGGGGAUAGAACAGGAUUAGAUACCCUGGUAUUCCACGCCGUAAACGAUGAUGGCUAACCGCCGGCGACACACUGUCGGUGGCCAAGCGAAAGCGAUAAGCCAUCCACCUGGGGAGUACGUCGGCAACGAUGAAACUCAAAGGAAUUGACGGGGGCCCGCACAAGCGGAGGAACAUGUGGUUUAAUUCGAUGAUACGCGAGGAACCUUACCCGGGCUCGAACGGCACCUGGAUCGCCCAGAGAUGGGCGAGUCUUCGGACAGGUGUCGAGGUGCUGCAUGGUUGUCGUCAGCUCGUGCCGUGAGGUGUCGGCUCAAGUGCCAUAACGAGCGCAACCCUUGCCGCCAGUUGCCAUCAGGUGAUGCUGGGCACUCUGGCGGGACUGCCACCGCAAGGUGUGAGGAGGGGGGGAUGACGUCAAAUCAGCACGGCCCUUACGUCCGGGGCGACACACGUGUUACAAUGGCGGCCACAGAGGGAAGCUACCCCGCGAGGGGAUGCGGAUCUCGAAAAGCCGUCCCAGUUCGGACUGGAGUCUGCAACCCGACUCCACGAAGUUGGAUUCGCUAGUAAUCGCGCACCAGCCAUGGCGCGGUGAAUACGUUCCCGGGCCUUGUACACACCGC